This 818-nucleotide long non-coding RNA is filed under the name Daphnia pulicaria. Its description in RNAcentral is "uncharacterized LOC124311660, transcript variant X2". Lineage: Eukaryota; Metazoa; Arthropoda; Branchiopoda; Diplostraca; Daphniidae. The record is from RNAcentral.
UCCGAGAAAGAAAAUGGUGUGUGGUGUUGAGAAAAUUUGUUACAAGAAAAAUGAAAGAGUAAAAGAUUACUAAGAUUUUCUAAUAAUGUGAGUUAGUUGAGAAAUAAUAAUCUAGUAAUUGGGCAAUUAAUGUCACUUUUACCCCAAAUUCUUGUUUUUUUGCUGCCUGAUUGAGGGAUUGACUAAUGGAAACAAAGAUAAUUAAUCAAGUAGAUUUUUUUGUCCCAAUAGGGCUCACAAAGAACAAUAGAAACCAAACUUUAAAUGUCAGAUCACCAAAUAAAAACAGUCAAUAGUUUUUCGCUACUAACUAAUGUGCUCUUUAACUGACACGACGAGUAAGGCUUCAAUUCCCUGAGAUGUUAAGGAAACCGACGUCUUUAAUGCCAAGUGUGUCACUACUCCGGGUAACAACCCAAAACUUUGGAGAACAUGAACGCACUCAACCGGAUGGAAAUGCGUACCUCAAAUCGCCCAGCAACGAUUGAUGAUCCACAUCCAUCCACUUCAAAUCGAAUGCGACAUGGCAGAAGAGAACAAAUUAACUCAAAACUAAUAUGUGCCGCCGCAGUUAUGCAAUUGGUCGGCGAUACGGGGGGUGAGCGAGCGGUUCAAUGUGCGAUAGCGAAUAUGAAACGUUUACGAACUGUGACAUCAUCAUCCAUCAGACGGCAAUUGACGUCAGCGAGGACGUGAUCACUUCCCAAACUAUACCGGAAGCCAUACUACUUUAUAGCCCCUGCGAUCGUGAAACUUUGAUGACGUGUGUUCAACUUACUUACUCCUCUUAUUUAAAAAGUUAUAUAUUUUUGCUUCAA